AAUACGUAGGGGGCAAGCGUUGUCCGGAUUUAUUGGGCGUAAAGAGCGUGUAGGCGGCCAUGCAGGUCCGUUGUGAAAACUGGAGGCUUAACCUCCAGACGCCGGUGGAAACCGUGUGGCUAGAGUCCGGAAGAGGAGAGUGGAAUUCCUGGUGUAGCGGUGAAAUGCGCAGAUAUCAGGAAGAACACCCGUGGCGAAGGCGGCUCUCUGGGACGUGACUGACGCUGAGACGCGAAAGCGUGGGGAGCAAACAGGA
RNAcentral lists this ribosomal RNA (256 nucleotides) under uncultured prokaryote. RNAcentral's name for it is "partial 16S ribosomal RNA". It matches the Rfam family "Bacterial small subunit ribosomal RNA", at positions 522 to 777 of the family's 1533-position model. The record is from RNAcentral.